Molecule: ribosomal RNA, 506 nt
Filed under: uncultured bacterium
Lineage: Bacteria
Description: partial 16S ribosomal RNA
Rfam family: Bacterial small subunit ribosomal RNA
Source: RNAcentral
GAUGAACGCUAGCUACAGGCUUAACACAUGCAAGUCGAGGGGUAACGAGAGGAAAGCUUGCUUUCCUUGUCGACGACCGGCGCACGGGUGAGUAACGCGUAUCCAACCUGCCCCCAACUAGGGAAUAACCUUGCGAAAGUAAGACUAAUACCCUAUAAUUUCCUCAGAUGACAUCUGACGAGGAAUAAAGAUUUAUCGGUUGUGGAUGGGGAUGCGUCUGAUUAGCUUGUUGGAGGGGUAACGGCCCACCAAGGCAACGAUCAGAAGGGGUUCAGAGAGGAAGGGCCCCCACAUUGGAACUGAGACACGGUCCAAACUCCUACGGGAGGCAGCAGUGAGGAAUAUUGGUAAAUGGGCGGAAGCCUGAACCAGCCAAGUAGCGUGCAGGAUGACGGCCCUAUGGGUUGUAAACUGCUUUUAUACAGGAAUAAAGUUAGCCACGUGUGGUUAUUUGUAGGUACUGUAUGAAUAAGGACCGGCUAAUUCCGUGCCAGCCGCCACCGUAA